RNAcentral lists this ribosomal RNA (482 nucleotides) under Eugerdella sp. VTDes162. Its description in RNAcentral is "partial 16S ribosomal RNA". It matches the Rfam family "Bacterial large subunit ribosomal RNA", at positions 1847 to 2597 of the family's 2925-position model. Lineage: Eukaryota; Metazoa; Arthropoda; Malacostraca; Isopoda; Desmosomatidae. The record is from RNAcentral.
UGGAGGUAGUCUCUGCUCCAUUAAAAAUAAUUUAAAAUAGCCGCAGUAUCUUAACUGUGCUAAGGUAGCAUAAUAAUUUGCCUUUUAAUUGGGGGCUGGUAUGAACGAGGUAACGACGCUCAAGCUUUCCUUAAAAUCUAGCCUGAGAAAUUGAUACCUGCUUAAAAAAGAGCAGCUUGCCGGGGGGACGACAAGACCCUGUAAAACUUUAUUUUGAACUUUUACCCACAAUUUAGGAGGUUGUUGGCAGGGUAUAAAAUUGAGCUGGGGCGGCAGUUAACUUAAACCUUAAAUAAACUGGAACACGCAUUCGUGGUGAUAUAGAUCUUUAUAAAAAUUAGAACAAGUUACUUCAGGGAUAACAGCACAAUUCUCCCGGAUAGAUCUUAUAGAUGGGAGAGACUUGUGACCUCGAUGUUGAAUUGAAGGGCCCCUUUUGCGCAAAAGCAAAAGAGGGGGGUCUGUUCGACCCUUAAAACUUC